This 74-nucleotide transfer RNA is filed under the name Bacteroidales bacterium. RNAcentral describes it as "tRNA-Asp". It matches the Rfam family "tRNA". From Rfam's summary of the family: Transfer RNA (tRNA) molecules are approximately 80 nucleotides in length. Their secondary structure includes four short double-helical elements and three loops (D, anti-codon, and T loops). The record is from RNAcentral. Lineage: Bacteria; Pseudomonadati; Bacteroidota; Bacteroidia; Bacteroidales. RNAcentral also lists the same sequence under 2 other names.
GGUGUGUUAGUUCAGUUGGUUAGAAUACCUGCCUGUCACGCAGGGGGUCGCGUGUUCGAGUCACGUACACACCG